RNAcentral lists this ribosomal RNA (563 nucleotides) under uncultured archaeon. RNAcentral describes it as "bacterial SSU rRNA". It matches the Rfam family "Archaeal small subunit ribosomal RNA", at positions 313 to 879 of the family's 1478-position model. The record is from RNAcentral.
GCGAUUCGCCCUUCGGGGUGAGCAGGCGCGAAUACUCCACCAUGCGCGAAAGCGUGAUGGGGUUAACCCGAGUGCCGUCCGAUGAGGAUGGCUUUUCUUCAGUUUAAGGAUCUGGAGGAAUAAAGGGGGGGCAAGACUGGUGUCAGCCGCCGCGGUAAUACCAGCCCCCUGAGUGGUAGGGACGAUUAUUUGGCCUAAAGCGUCCGUAGCCUGUUUGGGAAGUCUUUCGUUAAAUCCGACGAUUCCAUCGUUGGGACGCGGAAGAUACUGCCAGACUUGAGGACGGGAGAGGUCGACGGUAGUCCUAGGGUAGGGGUGAAAUCCUAUAAUCCUAGGAGGACCACCAGUGGCGAAGGCGGUCGACUAGAACGUGCCUGACGGUGAUGGACGAAAGCUGGGGGAGCGAACCGGAUUAGACACCCGGGUAGUCCCAGCUGUAAACGAUGCGAGCUAGGUGUUGGAGCAACUACUAGUUGCUCCAGUGCCGCAGAGAAGUUGUUAAGCUCGCCGCCUGGGAAGUACGGCCGCAAGGCUGAAACUUAAAGGAAUUGGCGGGGGAGCAC